Prunus dulcis (almond) is the source of this 366-nucleotide long non-coding RNA. RefSeq lists it as uncharacterized. NCBI's taxonomy places the organism in Eukaryota, Viridiplantae, Streptophyta, Magnoliopsida, Rosales, Rosaceae. The record is from RefSeq and is a predicted model, not a curated record. The transcript has 3 exons.
AUUUCGAGGAAGUCAUCAAAAGAGCAUCCAGAAGAUGUAUCUAAGCAAGACACCGACAUCAAUAAACAAUGUGUUUUAGACUACAUAAACGAAUUUAUCACAAACGAGGUUUAUUUGGAAGGUCAACACCCUAUGCCACCAAUUGAUGAGCGUUGGUUGAGAUGUGCAACCAUAACUGCAUCAGAUUGGCUUACGCCAUAUCAGGAUCGUAUACGUCAAUUUAGAUAUGAAGCUGGUGUAAUAGACCCUUAUGAUAAUGACCCUAUAUUUAUUGAGUAGUUUUGUGAAGCAUCAUAUUGGUGACAUUAAUAAGGAAGUCACAAGGCAAAUAAAACCUUUUCUCUAUUCAAAAGCUUAACUUUGUUA